UACGUAGGGGGCAAGCGUUGUCCGGAUUUACUGGGCGUAAAGCGCGUGUAGGCGGUUGAGUUAGUCUGCUGUGAAAUCUCCGGGCUUAACCUGGAGGGGUCGGUGGAAACUGCUCGACUUGAGGACGGUAGAGGGGGGUGGAAUCCCCGGUGUAGUGGUGAAAUGCGUAGAGAUCGGGAGGAACACCAGCGGCGAAGGCGGCCCCCUGGGCCGCUCCUGACGCUGAUACGCGAAGGCCAGGGUAGCGAACGGG
This 253-nucleotide ribosomal RNA is filed under the name uncultured bacterium. RNAcentral's name for it is "partial 16S ribosomal RNA". It matches the Rfam family "Bacterial small subunit ribosomal RNA", at positions 524 to 776 of the family's 1533-position model. The record is from RNAcentral.